AGCCCAUGCCAUACAUAGCUCUUUAUUUCUUAUCUACUUUCUCCUCUUCUGGUUCCAGAACCAUCCCCAGGAUCCUACAUGCAUCAAUCAUAUCAUCUGAGAUUGUUCUAUGCUACAAGAGGCUCCUUACUUGUGCUCACCUGAAGUGGGUGGAAAAUUACAUAUCAGAUAUAUUGGAGAAGAACACAAUAUUUCUUCUGAAACUACCUUUUAAAAAAUAUUCAGGAAGGAAGCUAC
This 237-nucleotide long non-coding RNA is filed under the name Cricetulus griseus (Chinese hamster). RNAcentral describes it as "lncRNA (ENSCGRG00000025943.1)". The record is from RNAcentral. Lineage: Eukaryota; Metazoa; Chordata; Mammalia; Rodentia; Cricetidae.